AGAGACUUAGGAUAACCAGACCGGAGGCCUUCAAAGCCUCAAGUGAGGGUGAAACCCCCCCAGUCCCUG
This 69-nucleotide transfer RNA is filed under the name Anarchias sp. Ansp. RNAcentral's name for it is "tRNA-Trp". It matches the Rfam family "tRNA". From Rfam's summary of the family: Transfer RNA (tRNA) molecules are approximately 80 nucleotides in length. Lineage: Eukaryota; Metazoa; Chordata; Actinopteri; Anguilliformes; Muraenidae. The record is from RNAcentral.